UACGUAGGUGGCGAGCGUUGUCCGGAUUUAUUGGGCGUAAAGCGCGCGCAGGUGGUGCGGUAAGUCUGCCGUGAAAUCUCCCGGCUCAACUGGGAGGGUGCGGUGGAGACUGCCGGACUGGAGGCACUCAGAGGCCGGUGGAAUUCCCGGUGUAGUGGUGAAAUGCGUAGAGAUCGGGAGGAACACCAGUGGCGAAGGCGGCCGGCUGGGGGUGACCUGACGCUGAGGCGCGAAAGCGUGGGGAGCGAACCGG
RNAcentral lists this ribosomal RNA (253 nucleotides) under uncultured bacterium. Its description in RNAcentral is "partial 16S ribosomal RNA". It matches the Rfam family "Bacterial small subunit ribosomal RNA", at positions 524 to 776 of the family's 1533-position model. The record is from RNAcentral.